CACCUUCGUUAACAUAGAAUGCAUAGCGUUCUUCUAAAAAAAUAACGCUUUCGGGAUGAAGCCCAUCUUGCUCAGCGAAGAAGAUGAAUGCGAAGAUGAUGACAAUGGAGAUUCAUAUUCAAUAUUUCAAGUAUCGGAUUGGGGAUUCACCAGAAAACUUGUCUCCUUGGUGCUAUAUAUUUUCGAAGGUUUGUUGACGGACAAUCUUUUUUAAGUUGAGCUGAUUCUUUGAGUUAUAAUUUCACACUCUUUUCUAAUAAACUGUCUUGAGUGAUAAUUUGAAUUGAUUUGGUUCUCUUGUCUCGUUAUAUACUUGAUUAUUUCUGUGUUUAUCAUACUUGGUUUUGCUUUCAUGGUUGCCAUUCUUCAGAAAUAUUAAGUUCAAAUUGAAAUACUAUAAGUAGAUUCAGUUAUCACACACACAUGAAGAUGAGGGCCCAUGAGUCGUAGCUCAAGGGAAAGGAUGGGAUGAGGUGAAAUGUAGAUUCUAGGUUCAAUUCUCCGUGUAAUUGAAUUAUAAAAGUUUGAGCAUAAGGUCAUAUGUUCGAUUGUCCCCUUUUCACCCCACUAUUGCUUGUAUCAAAAAAAGAAAAAAAAGAAAAUACCAUUGAUGCACACGAACAACAUUGGCAUAUGGGUUCUUUGAGUGGUUGGGCCUAUCUGCAAUCCAUUACUGAAGAGAAAUAGAGGCAUGGAGAGAGAGCCAUCAGUCCUUGAAGCUUGAUUGGAAGCUUGGUUGGGUUUAGGCAUUUAACCGCAAAAUAAAUAUUAUUUUUCAUGACGAAUUUAGAGGAUGGCAAGGCCAGAAGGAAAUCAAGACAAACUUGAUGAAGGGUCAAUGAGCAGUAGUGUGCACCCUUAAACUUGAUGAGGUUUACUACUAGAAAACCUCUUAAAGUUUAUUCCCAUUAGACACACGUCUAUUCUAUUUCUAGACCAUUUUGGAGUCCUAGUUGAUCUUAGCGACAUGUAUAUUUGUGAUUUGCUUUUAGUGAAAAGAAUACGCUUGAUUUGCUCUC
Molecule: long non-coding RNA, 1019 nt
Organism: Prunus dulcis (almond)
Lineage: Eukaryota; Viridiplantae; Streptophyta; Magnoliopsida; Rosales; Rosaceae
Exons: 2
Source: RefSeq, a predicted model, not a curated record